Fukomys damarensis (Damara mole-rat) is the source of this 1677-nucleotide long non-coding RNA. Lineage: Eukaryota; Metazoa; Chordata; Mammalia; Rodentia; Bathyergidae. The record is from Ensembl.
AGGGCAUCUGACAAAGGAGGAAUCCGAGGCUCAGAGGUGAUGUAAGUUGGAAGUGGUGGCAAAAGCGCCAAACCCAAGUCUGCCUGACCAGAGUCCAAGCUCCCAUCUGACACUCUCUCCUUUUCUCCUCCCCACCCCACUGCGUCUCUGUGUAGGCCAAAGGCUCUCUCUGCUCUCCUCUCCUCCACCCCAAAGCAAGCCCUGGGGCACCCGGGUCACUCCAGAGCCUGACCCUGGGACAGUGAGGCUCCUCAGGUGGAGGAGGUAACCGCUUGAGAUCUGUCUACAACAGGAAACCUCCCCCGCGGCCUGCAAUCAAUCCAAGCCUCCCUUCCUUUGUGAUUUCACCCUGGAGCAAGGGCUCCAGCGUGACUCAUCGCCAGGCCUGCAGGAGCCUCCUCUGGAGAGGGGAGGUGACCUUGGCCAGGCACUCACAUCCAGUGCCUGUUUUGCUGUUCUAAGUGGGCAGCCCCAGGCUCCCACUGAGCUCGCCAUGGACUCUAUGAACACAAAGCACGUGGAAAAGAAUUUUGAAAACUGAAUGCAAAAUACUGACAAUUCCCUACUCCAACCUGUAUCCCACAUUCCAAGCCAGUACCUAAAUCCGCACAAUCAGAAUUCUGCCUGUGGGAGUCCAUGGGCACUCCAGUCACCUUCUUGGUGUGUGUCUGACCGGAAAUACUGGAAAAAAGGCGACAGGAAAACCAUCUUCAAAAGGCUGGCCCUACACAUCUUGUCCGGGGAUUCAGACCGCAUUCCUGCUCCAUGAGGCUGCUGGCCAGGCCAGCCCACCCCCUGAAGAGAGGGACACUGCUUCGCCCGUGUCUGCUGUGUUCUGACUCACAUUUCUCUGGGCUGUGGGACAGAGCUGAGUGCAAAGCUUCACAAACUCUGCUGAGUGGGAGGUUGGAAAUUAAAGGGAAAAAAGGGAUCUAAUUAAGCGGUGUAGGUGACAGUGUCAGGGAGAAAAUGUAAGCAAGUGGCAAUUUGGAUGUCUGCCUGCAAAUAAAAGAAAAGACUGUCGUUUUUUCAUCUGGCUCCUGUUUGCCCUAUAAAUCUCAGCUCACUAAUCCAAGUGUUUUAAUUAUCACUGUAAAAUACAGCACGCUGUGUUGCACCUAUCAUGGGGAAAUUAAAACAAAGGAGUGGGCAGAGGGAUUCAGGUUACCUCCUCUCCCAUUCCUCUUGUUUACACUAAUCUGAAGGUGUUUCUCCCCCUUCUGCCAUAAACACAACAUGAGGUUUUCCAGCAUUGAACAUAUUACCUCCCCCACUCACUAAAAGGAAUUUCUGACCCUGUGCUCUGUCAGCCCAAGCUACUCAAGGGCUGGGAGUCAUCUUCACCACUAUGGAUGCUUAAUUCUCAAGAAACCAAAAGAACCAGAUCCUGAAUUAAAUACCAGCUCCAGUUCUAAAAGGAGAGUCCCUCUACUAGGACACAGCAUGAAGACUGACUGAUAUUUAAAUAGCACCUUGCCUUGCACAAAUCACUUAAUCUCUCCCAGCCUCAUACUUCAAAUAAUAUAGUGAUAACACAGAGCCACGCAUGGGGGUGCACACCUAAAAUCCCAGUACUGGGGAAGCUGAGUCAGGAGGAUCACCAUUAGCUCAAAAUCAGGCUGGAUGAAUAGUGAGUCUUAAAAGAAAAAGAAAAAAAUAGUGACAACAGGAUUCAGU